UAAAAUCUAGUUUAAUCAUAUUGUUCCUAUCAUCGAGGCCUGCAACUCUACACUAACAUUGACACCGGUGUGUUUGUCACAGAUGGAUCAAUUGCUUCAUUAGAUAAAAGAAACAGCACACCCUGCCAACAAUAUGAUAAUUCUCGUUGUGUCAACAUAUAUUCAGGAACAUACUUUCCAGAGGUGUACUCUAAUAAUGUGGUACUUGUAUUGCAAGUGAAGCAUGAGUUUAUCCUCAGCUGGUGCAGCAAGAUUGGAAAUAGACAAACAAGCAGUGUGAUUAUAAACAUUUUUCAUUGUCGGAGUAAUGGGCCACGGGUAGGCUAACCCGAGCCCCAGAACCUUUCAAGACAUCGGGGCAGGCUGCGCCCCUCAAGCCGAGUCUCAGAUGGCGACUUCAAGAUAAGCCGAGUCUCAGAUGGCGACACCAAGAUAAGCCGAGUCUCAGAUGGCGACUCCAAGAUAAGCCGAGUCUCAGAUGGCGACUCCAAGAUAAGCCGAGUCUCAGAUAGCGACUCCAAGAUAAGCCGACUCAUGUCCGGCGACUUCCGGAGGAGCCGGCUAUGGAGAGUCGGCCCGCGACUCUACUCUCGUCGCGAUAGACGAGGCGGGUACGACCACGGCGUGGCCGUCACCUCCUGCUUACGAGGGGCCGGCAUGGCUACAGUGUGUCGUACCGCUGGAGAUCUCCGACGUGGCCCGGCACUGUUGCCAUGCCAGCCCUGACCUCAGCCACAGUGUGCGGCGCACUGUGGCCACGAUGGCCUACCUGUACGACUUAGAGACGGCGGACCCGCCUGUCAAUGAGAGCAUGGAAGACGGCGGAUACGCCCCAAAGGCGGCCCUAUGGGAGUUGGCCCCCUAGAGUCGGCCGGCCUCUCCCACGGGUCCCACGCGCCAUUAACCAGACAAGACGGGGAGUAACGACAGUGAUCGCCCGAUAGAUGGCGGCACUGUUGCCAUGACCCCGUGACCAAGCCUGCGUCAUCAGAAUCACGGCUACAGUGCCGGACUCGCCGGCGGGGCCCGCAAGUCGGCGGGCCCCAGCAGUCGGCGGAAAAGACGGCAGCCUGAGAGACAGACGGCUGGGACCCGCGCCCAGCCGGAUUACCAUUGUACCCCCGGGGGGUAGGCCUAUAUAACCCCCCCGGGUCACCCAUGCAAAGGGUUCGCAUCCAUUAGCCUUAGACCAGACCAUAUAGGAAGGAGAGAGCUAGCCUUGCCUUCUUCUACCUCCCGAAUACAGCUCUAGGAGCAACCUUGUAGUCACUAUGCCUUAGUGAUCAUGCGAAGACCCCGCAGAGCAGCAGUAGGGGUGUUAUCUCCCCGGAGAGCCCCGAAGCUGGGUAAGAUUCGCCGGCGUGCAUGCCUUCGCCUCAUCCCGUUUCCUGGCACCGGCGACGUUCUACUCGCUCCCACCAUGAUAAGCCAUCCUUUGGCAUAUGUCGCACCCAACCCCCGACAUUUGGCACCCACCGUGGGGCGAGGUGCACCGUCGUCCGGAGACUUGCUCUGGACGGGAACCCUCUUCCUCCCCCGCGAGCGUAGCCAGCCCGGCACGCCCGAUGGUGCUUGCCCUGACGCGCUGCAAGGCCUCGACGACGCCUGCGCGGCGAGCUGCCUCACUGACCUUCUUGGCGAGGUUUGCAUCUCCGACGAGCCUGCAUCCGAUGCAGGCACGGGUGGCCCCGAAAGCCUCCUCGCGGGCCUCCUCGACCAUCUCCACGUCGCCGGCGAGCCUGUCGUGGACUUGGAGUCCGUAGGCUCCACCGACCCGAUGCUGGUCGACUCCGACAGCGUGUUGCUCGACACGUUCCCCAACAAUGUGGUGAUCUACGACGAGCCGCUCCCUCACGAGGAGAGCGGCGGAAGCGCCGUCACGGAGGUGCUCGUUAUUAGUCAUGGCGAGCACUCCGGCGAAGGAGCUCAUGACCCGCUUGACGCGGCUCUGCGAGACCUGACGGCGCCCAUUCUGGAGGACGCUGACGCCGAGACGCUGGAGGCACGCCGCCUUCAGCUCAUCGAAGGCGCGAAGAAGCUGGCAAGCAUGAGACGCUUAUCGAAGGCCUACCAACAUGAGAUGGAUCACGCCGUGGGCGGUUCGCCCGUCCCGACUGGGCCUAGCCGCCUAGGCGCGGUCCGACAACGUGGCGCGGCCAUCGCCAACCUGUUCGGGGCCGAUCGCCCCGUGUAUGCCACGCCUGCAGAGAACAUCUGCGCCGCCCAGGCGGUAACAGACGAACUAGACAACUUCGAAGGCGAAGAGCGCCGCUUGAUGACCGAGCGAGUCCAGCGACUCCUCAAAGCGGCUGCCGCACAGAACGAAGCCGGCUGCCGCACGGAGGCGCCGCAGUGACAAAAUGACGACUUACCUCCCCGCCGAGACCAAGGUGCGACGUCUCGGACGCCGACUGGCGGAACCCGCGAAAGAAAAGAGAAGGAGCCGGCUGUCAGCCACAGUCGGACUCGCGUCACCAUCGAGCGCGACCAAGACGGUCGCCCGAGAGCAGUGGAGCGGCAGGGCGACUACCUGCCUCCCCCACCACGAAGAGAAAGACGAGUCUCCCCGCCGCCUGUUGAACAUCCGACUCUCGGCGACCGCCUCGGCCGUCGAGAGGGAGUCGGGGAGAACGACGCCCGCCACCGGAUCAACCGACUCCACCGAUCCCUGGCGCUGGAAGAAGAAGAUGAGCUGGGCCCGCCCUGCUUCGGACCCCGCAUUCGAGACGAGCCCUUUCCCAAAGGAUUCACGCUCCCUCGAGACACGCCCAAGUACACCGGCUCCGUGAAGCCGGAAGAUUGGCUAGUUGACUACUCCACGACCGUCAACAUAGCAAACGGCAACAAGCGCGUUGUCGUGAAGUACGUUCCGCUCAUGCUUCAGGGUACGGCCCGGACAUGGUUGAACAGUUUGAAGCCCCGCAGCAUCAACAAUUGGGUCGACUUCACCGAGGCUUUCAUCCGCAACUUCACAAGCACGUACAAGCGACCCCCCAAGCCGCGCCAGCUCUCCUUGUGCGUGCAAGGCCAAGACGAGUCAACUCGCGACUACCUCACGCGAUGGGGCGAGCUUCGGAACUCCUGCGAGGGCGUGCACGAGGUGCAGGCUAUCGAGUACUUCACCGCCGGGUGCAGAGAAGGCACACUCCUCAAGCACAGACUCCUCUGCGAUGAGCCAGAGACCCUCGAUGAGUUGCUGGUCAUAGCGGACAAGUAUGCCACGGCCGACUCCUCCAUGAAGACAGAGAUUCAAUUUAGUGCGACUGGCAAAGUGGCCCCUCAAGCUCCCAGAACUCCGGCUGGGGACACCAGUCAGCGACAGCAGUAGAAUGAUCACAAGCGCAAGGCCCCACAGCCGACUUCCAGCAGUCGGCAGGUUGCGACAGUCAAAGACCAACAACCUGAGGGGCAGCCUCCCGCGAAGCGGCAGAAAGGCGGCAAGUCCAACUGGUUGCCGGCCUUCUCUUACGAGCAGACUCUAGAUGGUCCCUGCAAAUUCCACAGCGGCGCGAAGCCGUCAAACCAUACCACCCGGAAAUGCCACUGGCUCACCAGAAUCGCCAAAGGAGACGGCCUCCUUCCUCCUCCGCCUGCUGGGCCGCCGCCUCCACAGCCGCCCCAGCAACCGGCGGCCAGGCCAGUCGGCGCCGUACAAGAUGAAUACCCAGAAGAACAUGGAGCUUAUGUAGUGUUCACCAAUAUGGCUGAUGAUCGACGCAGCAGACGAUUGCAGCAGCAAGAAGUAAAUGCAGUAGCAUCAGAUACUCUGGAGUUCAUGCAUUGGUCCGAGAAGCCUAUCAGUUGGAGCAGAGCUGAUCACCCAGAGGUGAUGCCGAAUCCGGGCUCCUACGCCUUGGUUCUGAGCACUACCUUGGCCACUGAUAGGUGGGCCGCCCGCUUCUCGCAAGUGUUGAUAGACGGAGGCAACAGCAUCAACAUCCUGUACAAGGAUACCAUGAAGAAAUUAGGAAUCAAGCAGAAAUAGCUUCAAAGCAGCCGAACUGUUUUCCACGGCAUUGUACCUGGCCUUUCUUGCUCCCCAAUUGGCAAGAUCCAGAUAGAUGUCCUCUUCGGAGACAAAGAUCAUUUUCGCCAAGAGCCAGUUUGGUUUGAAGUGGUGGACCUUGAAAGCUCAUACCAAGCAUUGCUUGGCCGACCUGCUUUGGCCAAGUUCAUGGCGGUCCCCCACUACGCUUACCUCAAGAUGAAGAUGCCAAGUUCAAAGGGGAUUCUGACCGUGGCUGGCGACUACAGGAAGUCGUUCGCCUGCGCGACCGAGAGUAGUCGGCUGGCCGAGUCCCUGGUGAUCGCAGCUGAGAGGCGGCUCCUUGAUCGGGUUGUGGCAAUGGCCGGCAAGCAGCCAGAGAUGUCGCCCGACCCCAAGGAGUCGGAAGCUGAGGGUUCGUUCAAGCCGGCUAAAGAAACAAAGAGGAUACCUUUGGACCCGGAGCAUCCGGAGAGGCACGCUGUCAUAGGUGCAAACCUAGACAGCAAAUAGGAAGGCGAGCUCGUCGAUUUCCUCCGUGAGAAUCGAGACAUCUUCGCAUGGUCCCCUAAAGACAUGCCAGGUGUACCGACGGAAUUCGCCGAGCACAAGUUACAUGUCCGAUCUGAUGUGAAACCCGUCAGGCAGCCCUUGCGCCGCCUGUCAGAAGAGAAAAGAAGAGUUGUUGGAGAAGAGAUAGCCCGACUCCUAGCGGUCGGCUUCAUUAUGGAGGUGUUCUUUCCAGAAUGGCUGGCGAACCCGGUCCUAGUGUUGAAGAAGAACAAGCAGUGGAGGAUGUGUAUCGACUACACAAGCCUCAACAAAGCUUGACCCAAAGAUCCAUUUGCUCUGCCAAGAAUUGACUAGGUGAUAGACUCCACAGCCGGAUGCGAGCUGUUGAGCUUCUUAGAUGCAUAUUCAGGAUAUCACCAGAUCAAGCUGAACCCGGCAGACAGACUGAAGACUGCCUUCAUCACGCCGUUUGGAGCCUUCUGCUACCUGGCUAUGACGUUCGGCUUGAGGAAUGCCGGCGCCACCUUUCAGCGUUGCAUGCAGAAGUGUCUCCUCAAGCAACUCGGCAGAAAUGCCCACGUCUACGUGGAUGAUGUGGUGGUGAAAACGGAAAAGCGUGGGACAUUGUUGGAAGAUCUCCAAGAAACCUUUAAGAAUCUGCGCCGAUUCCAGAUCAAGCUCAAUCCAGAGAAGUGCGUCUUUGGAGUACCAGCCGGCCAGCUCCUUGGCUUCCUGGUCUCUGAAUGCGGCAUAGAGUGCAACCCUGUAAAGAUCAAAGCCAUCGAGAGGAUGGAAGUCCCCCGCCGACUGUUAGAUGUGCAUAAGUUCACCGGCUGCUUGGCGUCCAUCAGCCGAUUCAUCAGUCGGCUAGGCGAGAAGGCCCUCCCUUUAUACCAACUGAUGAAGAAGACCACCUUUUUUGAGUGGAACCACAAGGCGGACGAAGCAUUUCUCGAGUUGAAGAAGAUGUUGACUACUCCCCUGUGCUGGCGACUCCGACUCCUAAAGAGCCUAUGCUCCUAUACAUUGCCGCCACCAGCCGAGUAGUCAGCACAGUUAUCGUAGUUGAACGCAAGGAGGAAGGCAAGGCACUCCCUGUCCAGAGACCGGUAUAUUACCUGAGCGAGGUACUGUCGACCUCCAAGCAGAACUACCCCCACUACCAGAAGAUGUGCUACAGCGUGCAUUUCGCCGCCAAGAAGUUGAAGCCUUACUUUCAAGAGCAUCCGGUCACUGUGGUUUGCACCGCUCCACUGGCCGAGAUCAUCGGAAGCCGUGAUGCUUCAAGCCGAGUAGCCAAGUGGGCCAUAGAUCUGGCUCCCUACACCAUCUACUACCAGCCCCGCACCACCAUCAAGUCACAAGCACUGGCCAACUUCCUUGUCGACUGGGCCGAGACCCAGUACCUGCCGCCAGCACCCGACUCCACCCAUUGGCGGAUGCAUUUUGAUGGCUCCAAGAUGCGCACCGGCUUGGGAGCCGGCGUCGUCCUCACCUCCCCCAAAGGCGACAAGCUCAAGUACGCACUGCAGAUCCACUUUGCCGCCUCCAACAACGUUGCCGAAUACGAGGCACUCGUUCACGGGCUCCGGCUUGCCAAAGAACUCGGCAUCCGGCGGAUCCUGUGCUACGGCGAUUCCGAUUUGGUGGUCCAGCAGUCGUCUGGCGACUGGGACGCCAAAGAUGCAAACAUGGCGAGCUACCGCUUCCUGGUGCAGCAACUCAUCGGAUAUUUUGAGGGGUGUGAAUUCCUUCACGUUCCAAGAAAUGACAACGACCAAGCAGACGCCCUGGCACGAGUCGGCUCCACCCGUCAAGCAAUACCAUCCGGCGUCGCCCUUCAGCACCUCCUCAAGCCGUCUAUCAAGCCUUCGCCAGAAUCAGACUCCAUUUUUGUGCCAACUCCCCCCGAAGAAGUCGGAUCCGACUCAAGAGCACCAACAGACGGCACAAGAAUCCUUACAGACGGCUCCAAAAAUACCGCGGUCAAAGCCGGCCCGGGGACUUCAGAACCCGGCCCGGGGACUGCGACGGUCAGCCCGAAGACUUCAGAACUCGGCCCGGGGACUGCGCCAGUCGACCCGGGGACUUCACCGAUCCAGUAAGCGGCCGCGGAUCCCAGCCCGCCGCCUCCCAGCCCAGCCGCCCUUGUCCAAGUCGCAAUAGUGGCAAUUGAAGAAAUAGCAGCACCCUCAUGGGCCCAGCCCAUCCUCAAGUUCCUAGUAAACAGAGAGCUGCCAGCUGAUGAAAUCCUGGCUCGGCAAGUGCAACGCCGAGCGGCAGCCUAUACCAUAGUCAACAGAGAGCUGGUCAGGCGCAGUGUCACUGGUGUCUACCAACGUUGUGUCGAGGCAGAACAAGGCCAAGCAAUUCUGAGAGACAUUCAUGAAGGCGAGUGUGGCCACCAUGCGGCUUCAAGGGCACUCAUCGCCAAAGCCUUCCGACACGGUUUCUUCUGGCCGACUGCCCUGGAAGAGGCCAAGGAAUUAGUCCAAAACUGCAAAGGGUGCCAGAUGUUCCGUUCCAAGCCGCUCCAGCCGGCUUCAGCGCUCAAGACCAUUCCCAUCGCCUGGCCCUUUGCGGUUUGGGGCUUGGACAUGGUGGGACCAUUCAAGACGGCACGAGGCGGCCUAACUCACCUACUUGUCACAGUGGACAAGUUCACCAAGUGGAUAGAAGUAAAACCCAUCAAGAAGUUGAAUGGUCCGAUUGCAGUAACCUUCAUCGCUGACAUUAUGACUCGGUACGGCAUACCACACAGCAUCAUCACCGACAAUGGUACAAAUUUUGCCAAAGGAGCCUUGGCCCGUUUCUGCGCAACGCAGGGCAUCCGGCUGGACUUAGCGUCCGUCGCCCAUCCGCAGUCAAACGGCCAGGUGGAGCGAGCAAACGGCCUCAUCCUAUCCGGCAUCAAGCCCCGCCUGGUCGAACCACUAGAGCGUUCGGCCGGCUGUUGGCUUGAGGAGCUGCCAGCCGUCCUCUGGAGUCUGCGCACGACUCCAAAUAAGUCAACCGGCUUCACGCCUUUCUUCCUCGUCUACGGUGCUGAAGCCGUCAUCCCGACGGACAUAGAAUUCGACUCCCCGCGAGUCACCAUGUACACCGAGGAGGAAGCAGAAGAAGCACGUCAAGACGGCGUCGAUCUGCUGGAAGAGGGCCGACUGUUGGCACUUAGUCGGUCCGGCAUCUACCAGUAGAGCCUGCGCCGAUACUACAACAGGAAGGUCAGGCCAAGAUCUUUCCAAGAGGGCGACCUUGUGCUCCCACUGAUUCAGCGGACAGCCGGCCAGCACAAGCUUUCGGCACCUUGGGAAGGCCCCUUCAUUGUCAGCAAAGUGUUGGGCAACGACUCCUACUACCUGAUUGACGCUCAGAAGCCCCGAGCACGCAAGAGAGACGACUCCGGCAAAGAGUCGGAAUGGCCAUGGAAUGCAAACCUCCUUCGAAGAUUUUACAGUUGAUUCAGUAUGUAUCACGUUACCCCUUUGUAUUAAAGUACCGAGACUUUGAGCCCCCCGAGACGAGCUCGGGGACUGCCCCUUUUGAUUAUCUGUAUGAUAAGAGUUAUGCCUUCAAGUAUGCUACUUCUUGCUACGCCGCUCGGCACCGGGCUCGACUAGUCGGCCCGGGGACUCGCCGUCUGGCGCUAUGAAAUGUUUUCUGAAGUCGGACAAGUAGUGUGCGGCGCCUAAGCCGUCUCCUGCCAGAAGCCGCAGCUCGCAGAGCGACUGUUUGGUAGGCAGGAGUAAGGAUGAAUGGGCGUUCACACGAAAAAUGGCUAAGGACCUAAAACAUUAACAUAGCCUAAGCCGGCUUCCAGCCCCCUUUCACAAGCCGAAUCGCGAGUAUUCGGCUUGCCGCUUUCUAUCCAACUUGUUAAAUAAACUUCAAUGAAAGGCAAGUACUUGCUUUCCCCAAAGUAGCCAGGCAUUUGGCCCAGCGGUAGUCCGCAGAGCGGUUAGCCGGCUGACAAAGCGGCAACUAGGGGAAGGCGACAAAGGAAAAAGCCAAAGGAGCAAUGAGCAAGGAAAGAUAGAACUCGGAUUAAUAUUUACAUAAGCAUAGGCCCAUUGGCCGAAUCUCCAGACAGAAGUUCAAAAUACACCCCGGGGGUGGAAUUGUGCAAAUUAACAAGUUCCUAAAAGACUUUCUAGAGCAGAUAAAAUAAAGCCAGAAGGCAGCCUAGGGAGAAGCAGACGGGUUCGGAGGGUCGGAGGAGACGGCGGUGUCAGGCGCCGGGGCGGCCGGCUGGGCAGUCUGGGCUCGGCUCGUCUCUAGAGGCGCGGUCGAGCUGAGGCUGGUCGCCCGCUCCGUCUUCUGGCGCCUUUGUCCUCCGCCUCGCCUUCUUCCUCGGUGCUGGAGUCAAUCACCUCCGCCGAGUCCUCGCCAUAUUCUAGGUUCAUCCCGAACCACUCUGGCGGAACCUCCUCACCGCCUUCAGCCCACUCGGGGACGAAGACACUGGUGUCCGUGUAGUCGGCGAUGGCCGCCGCACACUCGACAAGGGCGCCCUCCACAGCCUCCAGCUCGGCCUGGGCCUCUGACCGGAACGCGGCCAGACGGUCCAGGUCCAGCCCCGGAUACCACGCCUUGACGAAUUCCAAGGCCCGGCGCGCUCCGGCCCGGGCCAAGGAACCCUUCCAGGCCUCAAGACGGCCGGCUGCGACCUCCAGCCAGUCGGCAGUUCGACUGGCAGUGCGCAGAGCCGGCAUGUCUGGCCACAGGGCGGCAACUGCCUGGGCGCCGGCACGCUGAAGCCGGCGCAUCAGCCGGUGGGCCGGAAGAAGACGGGCCUCGAUGCUCAGAAGUUGCUCAUCGACAGUCAGGGGAGCGUUGGCGGCAAUCACCUCGCCGCUUGCCCUCCGCGCCUCACGAUCAGCCUCGAUGGCCAGAGGGACUGCCUGCGAGUGGCCAGGGAAGAAGUCUGCCAAGACAAAAAAGAAGCAAGUCAAAAAAUCAGAAGUCAGCCCGACACAUAGUCGGAAACUCAAAGAAAGAAACUCACCAUCGACGAUGUCCUCGAUCUCAUGGAAGCCGGAGGUCAGCAUCGCCUCCUUGUCGGUCCAGGAGGAGCGCUCGCUCUUGAACUCGGCCAGAAGAGCAGCCUCCUUCUUCUCGGCCUCGUCCUGCGUUUUCUUGAGCAGCUCCUGCUCGGCCAGCUGCGCAGCAAGCAGAUCGCGCUCCGCAGCAAGCUUGCUGCACUCCUCCCCCUUGACGCGCAAGGCAGUGUUAACUUCACCCAGCUGCUCCUGGAGAGUGGCGUUAGCCCCUGAAGAACGAAAGAAAGAGACGAAUAAGUCAUCAGCAAAGAAGAUCGCUGGAAUGAUCCAGCCCGACUGCUCAGCAGUCGGCCCGAAUCUCGAGGACUACAGCCCGCGGGUGCGCCAGCGCGCCCCCGCGAAAAAGAGGAACAAAGAAGGAGACGUUGAAGUCGCCAAGAAAGAAGAUCGCCGGGAAGAUCCGGCCCGACUGCUCAGCAGUCGGCCCGAAUCUCGGGGACUACAGCCCGCGGGUGCGCCAGCGCGCCCCCGCGAAGAAGAGAAAAAGAACUUACUCCGGCUUUCUGUCAAGUCGGCAAUCCGCUUGCUCAACUCCUCAACAUUACGGUUGAAGGUAGUGGCGCGGAGGUUGUGAUACUCCUGCAAACAAAAAUUUCAGACAAAGAUAAAUACUCGGAACUCGCCAGAGGGAGUUCCGAGCCGCCUGCUCAGCAAUCAGCCCGAAACUCGGAGACUACACCUAGUGGGUGCGCUGGCGCGCCCCCACAGAGAAGAGCAAGAAAGACAAGAAUCAAAGAGGAAAACAUACCCGGAUGGCCACUCGCGACACUAGAUGUGCCUUGGUGCAGAUCUGGAGGGCAUCGCCUUUGGCUCGCAGCUUCGCUUGGACAUCCAGAAGCGCCUGGUUCAGCGGGGCCGUGCCGCCUCCGCACACCCACCCAACAGGCGCGGUACUCGUCGCCUCGGCGUCUGGGAUGGCCGAGCUAGCGCCUCUGACCUCCAGGGGCCGCGGCGCCGAAGUCGCCUUCUCGAGGCGGCGGCGCACUAGCGAGGCAACCUGAAGAAGCAGCCUCGCCUCGACCUCAUCCUCAGUCCGCGGCACCGGCUGUUUGCCGUGGGCCCUCCCAGACGGCAGUAGAGGCGGAGGCGGCGGCACCAGCGUGUCCGACAUGGAGCCCUCGCCGCUCUUCUUCUCCACGACGGGGUUCUUGGCGCCGGCUUCUCCGGUCUGCUCCGUGAAUUCCGGAGGCGGCGGUGCGGAGGAUAGUGGGGCGACAAGCAACACCGAUUGGCGACGUGCGGCCUCCUCAGCUCGCCGUCUCGCCGCAAGGGCGGCUUCAGCAUCCUCCAGCUUCUUCUGGGCGGAGGCAGCCGCCUUUUCGGUCUCCGCCUUCUCCAGGCGGUCGGCCUCCUCCUCGUCGCGCUUCUCCCGCGCGUUUCGCUCCGUCGCCUCCCGGAGGUCGGCGGCGGGGUCAACCCGCUGAGUAUUGGCGGACGUCUCUGCCGACCUCAUGACGGAGGGGACGGCGACUCUUUCAAGGGAAAUAGGGGCCUGAAGAAAAAAGGGGAGGAGUGUAAAAGAAGAACUCGGACAAGACUCACCAGAGAAAAAUAAAGACAAAGGUGAAAAAACUUACGCAAAGACUAGCGGCGGCCUUCUCACUUCCCUACGGAAGCGGUUGGCCUUCGCGGCCGCCUCCUCCCGCUUGGUCGCGGCGGCCGCCCCCUUGAACUUCUUCAACUUGCCGCCGGGCGCACUCGGCCCGGCGUGACGCCUCUUCGCGCCGCCUUGGCCGGCCAGGCCGGCGGAGGAACCCGUGCCCGAGGGGCCGACCCUUAGCUGAUGGCGCGGGAUGACUUCCCCUUCGGCGUCGUCCUCAGGCCAGUCGGCGAAGGUGGCCGAGGGCCUGAGGCCGCUUCCCACUCCUCCUCCUCCGCCUUCGGCGUCGGCUUCCAUCGCCGACGGCCCCAAGUCGGGGCCGUCGACAUCGCUCUCCGCUCGGUCGAGGACGAACUCGCGGGGCGGUCUCGUGACACCGGCUGCAGGUUGCAUGAGGGGGUUCUAGUUCAGAAGAAACCAAUGAAAAUCAGAAGUCAGAUUCGGCUAUAAAGAAGACAAAGCAAUAAGGAGAUGCGACUUACCACUGGAGGGGGGUUGGCUCGCGAGUACGGAUCCUUGCCGAACUGCCAGUCCUCCCCGAACUCGCAGUUCGUGAUAUGGUUCACCAUGUUUGCCACCUCCGCGCGGGGCAUCUCCUUGGUGCUCAUCCGACUCGGGUCUCGGUGGCCGCUCAUCUGACAGAUCAGGUGAGGCCGGCCUUGGAGCGGGAGGACUCGGCGCGCCACGAAGGCGGCCAGCAAGUCGGCCUCGACGAGGCCCUCCGACUGUGUCAAGACUCGGAGUCGCGCUACGACGGCGGCUCCGGCGGGAGUCAGCAUCUUGACUCGAUGAGACCAGCUGGGGAGCCUCCCAGCUGGGGUGCCGGCUUCAUAAGGCGGCAGAUUAACCCAGUCGCCGUCAGGGGCGAGGUUCUUCACGUAGAAGUACGAGCGCUGCCACAUCUUCACCGACUUGAUCAGCGAGAUGGAAGGGAAGGGGUUGUCGGCCGUCGAUCGCCGCAUCGCGAUGAAGGCACCGCAUUGAGCCGGCACGCCGGCGACGUGCGUGCCGAGCUUAGAUGAGAAGAAUUCUCCCCACAGCUCGAUGGUGGGGAGAACACCGAGGAAACCUUCGCACAAAGUGGCGAAGGCGGACAACAGCACCACUGUAUUCGGGGUGAGGUGGUGCGGCUGGAGGCCGUGAAACUCCAAGAAGGAGCGAAAGAAGCCGCUCGCCGGUAGCCCCAGGCCGCGCAUGAGGUGCGAGCGGAAGAUGACCCGCUCGCCCUCCUCCGGCGCUGGCGAUAUCUCCCUCGCCGGUGCGGUGCGGGCUCGCACGAGGUGUGCGCCGGGGAGGCGGCGCGUCUUGCAGAGGAACUCAAUGAGGUCGUCGUCGACCACCGAGCCGUCCCACGCGCCGGAACGCACGGCCGGAGCCACGGCGGCGGAGGAAGAGCUCAUCGCUGGCUGGUGCGGUGUGGUUCUGCUCACCGGCGGCAAGAAGAAGGAGAGAGGAGGCAAGAGGAGACGGGGAUCGGGGGAGAUGGGCGCGCGUGCUUUGCCGCUCCACUCCCCCCCUCCUACUUAUAGCCUUGGAGGCUGAGAAGCCGAGGGGGCGGGCGUGGGAUUAACUGCGCUCAGAGCCCCACGCCGCCCCACGAUUUACCCCACGAAGUUACUGCGCGCAGUAACGACGUGAGAAGCCCAACCGUUCGCACGGCCGCAGUGGAUCCGUUCGCGUGCUGAGGCAUGGUAGUGGCGGGCCCCGCCUGACGGCCCGUCCCGUCGCGCGCGUGGGCAAGCAGACUGCCCCCGCCGCGUGGCGCCGCGCGAUAGGACCGCGGCGGGCGGCAGCAGGGAAGCGUAUCAGGCACGCCGCCUGGUCUCCCGCCACGACUUUCGAGCUCUUUAUAGAGCAAGACGGCCCUCUACGAAUCCGACUUCGAAUAGUCGGCCCAGAGGAAGACGACAAGCGAAGCCCAGAUCCCACCACCGGAAGAAUGAAACUGUUGAGGCCCCACAGCGUGUCACUCUCGGAGCCUCACCAGCUUCGGGGACUACUGUCGGAGUAAUGGGCCACGGGUAGGCUAACCCGAGCCCCAGAACCUUUCAAGACAUCGGGGCAAGCUGCGCCCCUCAAGCCGAGUCUCAGAUGGUGACUCCAAGAUAAGCCGAGUCUCAGAUGGCGACUCCAAGAUAAGCCGAGUCUCAGAUGGUGACUCCAAGAUAAGCCGAGUCUCAGAUGGCGACUCCAAGAUAAGCCGAGUCUCAGAUAGCGACUCCAAGAUAAGCCGACUCAUGGCCGGCGACUUCCGGAGGAGCCGGCUAUGGAGAGUCGGCCCGCGACUCUACUCUCGUCGCGAUAGGCGAGGCGGGUACGACCACGGCGUGGCCGUCACCUCCUGCUUACGAGGGGCCGGCAUGGCUACAGUGUGCCGUACCGCUGGAGAUCUCCGGCGUGGCCCGGCACUGUUGCCAUGCCAGCCCUGACCUCAGCCACAGUGUGCGGUGCACUGUGGCCACGAUGGCCUGCCUGUACGACUCAGAGACGGCGGACCCGCCUGUCAGUGAGAGCAUGGAAGACGGCGGAUACGCCUCGAAGGCGGCCCUGUGGGAGUCGGCCCCCUAGAGUCGGCCGGCCUCUCCCACGCGCCAUUAACGAGACAAGACGAGGAGUAACGACAGUGAUCGCCCGAUAGAUGGCGGCACUGUUGCCAUGACCCCGUGACCAAGCAUGCGUCAUCAGAAUCACGGCUACAGUGCCGAACUCACCGGCGGGGCCCGCAAGUCGGCGGGCCCCAGCAGUCGGUGGAGAAGACGGCGGCCUGAGAGACAGACGGCUGGGACCCGCGCCCAGCCGGAUUACCAUUGUACCCCCGGGGGUAGGCCUAUAUAAACCCCCCGAGGCACCCAUGCAAAGGAUUCGCAUCCAUUAGCCUUAGACCAGACCAUAUAGGAAGGAGAGAGCUAGCCUUGUCUUCUUCUACCUCCCGAAUACAGCUCUAGGAGCAACCUUGUAGUCACUAUGCCUUAGUGAUCAUGCGGAGACCCCGCAGAGCAGCAGUAGGGGUGUUAUCUCCCCGGAGAGCCCCGAAGCUGGGUAAGAUUCGCCGGCGUGCAUGCCUUCGCCUCAUCUCGUUUCCUGGCACCGGCGACGUUCUACUCGCUCCCACCAUGAUAAGCCAUCCUUUGGCAUAUGUCGCACCCAACCCCCGACAUUCAUGUUUUCCAAGUAAAAAAGAAAGUCUCCAUAUGAUUGUCAGUACUUGUGUAUGAACAAGUUAAUACCUGGGAUUUACGGUACAAGUCAGCAGUAUAUUAUUCGCUACGCAACUCUUGUUAUUCACUUUGUUGAUUUUGAAUGCCCUUUUUGAUGCCCAACUGAGGAAACCCUCACUAAUUUUCAUGUUCCAGAUUUGAUCUUGCCAGAAUUCUCACUAUUAGAACCUGUACUUGCAACCAGCUAUUGUUCCUGACUUCAUUUUUGUGCAGAUUUGAUGCAAUUGAGGAUUAACCAAUGUUUUCUUGUGCGUCGGCGGGUGAAGACUUUCAUGGCUGGGGUCACAACAAUCUCCUAAGUGUAUAGCUUAGAUUAGGAAGAAAUAAAUCAUGUAGUACGUGGCUUUUGAAGUUCAGAUGGACAACUUUUGUAAAGUUUAUGUUAUUUUUGUAUCAAAUUCUUGCGAUGUUCCCACGAAAAAUACUACGUUUUUACAUGGAAACAGCUAAAAAAUAUUGUGUCCAGCGCGAUCACAUAAUUCAGUUAUAAACCUUCAAGCAUUACAACUGAUUGAAGAAUAGAUCACAUGCAUCUUUUGCCAGAA
This 14921-nucleotide long non-coding RNA is filed under the name Triticum aestivum (bread wheat). RNAcentral's name for it is "long non-coding RNA (TAES_LNC003660)". The record is from RNAcentral. Lineage: Eukaryota; Viridiplantae; Streptophyta; Magnoliopsida; Poales; Poaceae.